This 425-nucleotide ribosomal RNA is filed under the name uncultured bacterium. RNAcentral's name for it is "partial 16S ribosomal RNA". It matches the Rfam family "Bacterial small subunit ribosomal RNA", at positions 354 to 796 of the family's 1533-position model. The record is from RNAcentral.
GUGGGGAAUCUUGCGCAAUGGGCGAAAGCCUGACGCAGCCAUGCCGCGUGGAUGAUGAAGGUCUUAGGAUUGUAAAAUCCUUUCACCGGUGAAGAUAAUGACUGUAGCCGGAGAAGAAGCCCCGGCUAACUUCGUGCCAGCAGCCGCGGUAAUACGAAGGGGGCUAGCGUUGCUCGGAUUUACUGGGCGUAACGGGCGCGUAGGCGGACAUUUAAGUCAGGGGUGAAAUCCCGGGGCUCAACCUCGGAACUGCCUUUGAUACUGAGUGUCUUGAGUAUGAGAGAGGUGUGUGGAACUCCGAGUGUAGAGGUGAAAUUCGUAGAUAUUCGGAAGAACACCAGUGGCGAAGGCGACACACUGGCUCAUUACUGACGCUGAGGCGCGAAAGCGUGGGGAGCAAACAGGAUUAGAUACCCUUGUAGUCC